Molecule: long non-coding RNA, 346 nt
Organism: Malaclemys terrapin pileata
Lineage: Eukaryota; Metazoa; Chordata; Testudines; Emydidae
Exons: 2
Source: RefSeq, a predicted model, not a curated record
UUUUUUCCCAGGCCAGGCAUUUUUUUCCUGUGUUCUCAACAAUAAGUUCCAGCAACUGAGUACUUGCAGGUGACCCCACAAACCAGCAAGGCUGAACUUUCAAUCCCUGGUUGUUCUUCCAAGUUCAAGCACAUUGUGGGAAGACGCAUACAAGUCAUUCUGUGUGAGGAGGCUGCCUUUGAUGCUCCCUUGCUCCUGGAUCUGUCCUCAGAACAGACUGAAGAAGGGACACUGCAGCUUCCUUUCCCUGGUGGAAAUUCUUGGGGGAGAAUUAGGGAUUUAAGAGAACUAAACAUGAAAGCUUUAAAUAAAUGCCACUUGAUACAGAUAAUUUCACGAUGGCCAA